GAUGAACGCUGGCGGCGUGCCUAAUACACGCAAGUCGAGCGAACAGAUAAGGAGCUUGCUCCUUUGACGUUAGCGGCGGACGGGUGAGUAACACGUGGAUAACCUACCUAUAAGACUGGGAUAACUUCGGGAAACCGGAGCUAAUACCGGAUAACAUAUUGAACCGCAUGGUUCAAUAGUGAAAGGCGGCUUUGCUGUCACUUAUAGAUGGAUCCGCGCCGUAUUAGCUAGUUGGUAAGGUAACGGCUUACCAAGGCAACGAUACGUAGCCGACCUGAGAGGGUGAUCGGCCACACUGGAACUGAGACACGGUCCAGACUCCUACGGGAGGCAGCAGUAGGGAAUCUUCCGCAAUGGGCGAAAGCCUGACGGAGCAACGCCGCGUGAGUGAUGAAGGUCUUCGGAUCGUAAAACUCUGUUAUCAGGGAAGAACAAAUGUGUAAGUAACUGUGCACAUCUUGACGGUACCUGAUCAGAAAGCCACGGCUAACUACGUG
This 497-nucleotide ribosomal RNA is filed under the name uncultured bacterium. Its description in RNAcentral is "partial 16S ribosomal RNA". It matches the Rfam family "Bacterial small subunit ribosomal RNA", at positions 28 to 507 of the family's 1533-position model. The record is from RNAcentral.